UACGAAGGGUGCAAGCGUUAUUCGGAGUUACUGGGCGUAAAGAGCGCGUAGGCGGCCCUUUAAGUUAUUUGUUAAAUCUCCCGGCUUAACCGGGAACAUGCAAGUAAAACUGGGGGGCUAGAGUGUAAGAGAGAGAAGUGGAAUUCUCGGAGUAGCGGUAAAAUGCGUAGAUCUCGAGAGGAACACCGGAGGCGAAGGCGGCUUCUUGGCUUACAACUGACGCUCAAGUGCGAAAGCGUGGGGAGCAAACAGG
This 253-nucleotide ribosomal RNA is filed under the name uncultured bacterium. RNAcentral describes it as "partial 16S ribosomal RNA". It matches the Rfam family "Bacterial small subunit ribosomal RNA", at positions 524 to 776 of the family's 1533-position model. The record is from RNAcentral.